This 57-nucleotide unclassified non-coding RNA is filed under the name Cocal virus. Lineage: Riboviria; Orthornavirae; Negarnaviricota; Monjiviricetes; Mononegavirales; Rhabdoviridae. The record is from RNAcentral.
ACGGAAACAACAAAACCAGAUAUAAAAUAAAACCCAAAAGGGAAUUGUAGGGUCUAG